RNAcentral lists this RNase P RNA (488 nucleotides) under Spirochaetaceae bacterium. RNAcentral describes it as "RNase P RNA component class A". It matches the Rfam family "Bacterial RNase P class A". Rfam says of the family: Ribonuclease P (RNase P) is a ubiquitous endoribonuclease, found in archaea, bacteria and eukarya as well as chloroplasts and mitochondria. Lineage: Bacteria; Pseudomonadati; Spirochaetota; Spirochaetia; Spirochaetales; Spirochaetaceae. The record is from RNAcentral.
GCGAUGAACCAGACUGCCGCAGGGGGUGGGGAAUUGCCGCCGUCCCCCUGAGGAAAGUCCGGGCUCCGCAGGGCAUGAUGCCGGGUAAUACCCGGGCGGAAAGGGCGAAAGCCCUUUUUGACAGACAGCGCAACAGAAAGCAAACCGCCGUUUUGGUUUUCGGCUUACCCGGAAACCCGGACGGUAAGGGUGAAAGGGCGGGGUAAGAGCCCACCUCGGCGGCGGCAACGCCGCCGGAAAGAUUUCGGCGCGUCCGGGAAAUGGAACGGUUGCCCCAGGGUAAUCAUUUCAUUCAUCCGGGUUCGCCGAAAAACGGCAAGCCUCAUCAGGAGCAAAGUCAAGCAGCGGUUGAACGGCCCGUUUCAUACCGCGGGUAGACUGCGUGGAUACCAUCCGUAAGGAUCGCGCAAGAUAGAUGGCAGUUUGAUAUUGAAACUUCCCAGGAUGUUUUAAUGUCACAGAACCCGGCUUACCGGUUCAUCGCUUUU